Molecule: ribosomal RNA, 104 nt
Filed under: Micromonospora mirobrigensis
Lineage: Bacteria; Bacillati; Actinomycetota; Actinomycetes; Micromonosporales; Micromonosporaceae
Description: 23S rRNA. Bacterial LSU
Rfam family: Bacterial large subunit ribosomal RNA
Source: RNAcentral
GGUGGGGUAAGGCCCCCAGCUAGACGACUGGGUUGAUAGGCCGGAACUGUAAGCCCGGUAACGGGUUCAGGUGACCGGUACUAAUAGGCCGAGGACUUGACUAC